AGCACAGUCGUAGAAAUGCACAAUCGGAAUGUGGACGUAAAUGCGUUUCACCCAGUUAGUAGUUAUUAUUGUCGCUUUCGCCAAAAUACAAUCACGAUGUGUCGUAGUUUUAGUUAAACGUUUGGGAAACUUCCGUAAACAAAAGACACAACAAUUUGUAACGUGCACUUAUAUCUUUACGUGAUACUACGUUUAAGAUUUAUAUGACAUAUUAAUUACAAAGCAAUGUAUCGCCCAUUCGAUGAAACAUUCGAUGUACGAGACUUUACAUUUUCGGGUACAUUCCAUAGAAGGCAUACGACGUCAGGUGAAAUUUAGAAACUACCACAGGAAAAUGAGAAAACAGAGACAAGGAAUGAGUCAAGAACAGAACAUAAUGUACCGACCUAAAAUAUAAGAAAAAUACCUAAAAGAUAAUAACAAUGAGAAAGAGAGAGUACUAUCAAUAAAUCGUGAAUUCAGGUAAAACUAACACUACUGAAUAAGGUCUGUUGGCCUUACAUCGUGCAAGACUAAACAAGGUCAUCAAUCGCAUAUUGAUAUAUUGAACUACAAAUGCAGAUGCGAUCUCGUCAAAUGAGGUGUCUGAUGAUAUAAUCGCCAGAGUAUUUUAAAAUUAUAACAAAAAGUUAGCAAAUCAGUAAAACCGUCAGAGGUGGGCGGCUCUGGCAUACAUCAUGCGCUGGCGCACCUACACAUGCACACAGUAUUUAUAACGUAAACAUAUGGCCCGCCUGUACUAGACCGACCAACACCAAUGGCAGUAAAUUCCUACCUCUAUACUAUCGCUGAAUAAACAUUUGGGAAGUUUAUGGACAAUCAAGCAGGUGCAAUAUUUAAACAAAUUCAUCAAUAUGUCCAGAAUACAAAACUCGUAAAUAUGGUCAUAAAAAUUAGAAAAUAAUCCUGUUCUAAACGAAUAUUCUAAUUUCAAAUUUAAAUUUCUAUUUAAAAACUUAUUGUUUUAUCAGCUACAUAAAGGUAUAAGUACCUACCCACAUUAGUAAUGAUAAAUGUUGUAGUCUAA
Molecule: long non-coding RNA, 1027 nt
Organism: Galleria mellonella (greater wax moth)
Lineage: Eukaryota; Metazoa; Arthropoda; Insecta; Lepidoptera; Pyralidae
Exons: 4
Source: RefSeq, a predicted model, not a curated record